This 769-nucleotide long non-coding RNA is filed under the name Ornithorhynchus anatinus (platypus). RNAcentral's name for it is "lncRNA (ENSOANG00000050689.1)". The record is from RNAcentral. Lineage: Eukaryota; Metazoa; Chordata; Mammalia; Monotremata; Ornithorhynchidae.
GGAGGGGGGGCGGGGCCGGACGCGAGCGCGCGGAGGCGGGGAGGGCGGGCGGCCGCCGCGGGGCAUUGUGGGUGGCUCCCUGUAGGUGUCCGGGCGCGGGGCAUUGUGGGUGGCCUCCAUUAGCCGUCCGGGCGCGGGGCAUUGUGGUGGCUCCUCUAGCCGUCGGGCGCGGGGCAUUGUGGGCGGCUCCCUGCAGCCGGCCGAGCGAGGGGCAGCAAAGAUUGCCGGAGCGAGACAAUGAGCCGUUCUCCAACCCUCUGGCCCCGGAUGGCCACGAGGUGGGACGGAUCCCCACUCCUUUCCACCAGUGAGUGAAAGGGUUCCUCGCCUGCUUUCUCUCCCCUCGGGGACCGCAGUGGGGGAGGCUGGAGAACUCCGGGGCCGGGGAUGGUGGAGACAAGAGGACCCUGUGUAUCACUCGUUUGAUCCAACUAGGUGUUUUUUUUUUGAUGGCACUCGUUAAGCGCUUACUAUGUGCCAGGCACUCUGUUGAGCUUCUGGGGUAAUAUUUAAUAGUUACGACGAUAUUCGUUAAGCGCCCACCGUUCUAAGAGCAGGGGAUCGACACAAGGUGUCCUUUCCGGUUGGACCCAGUCCCGGUCCCAGAUGAGGCUCACAGUCCUGAUCCCCAUUUACAAAAUGACGGUGACUCGAGGCCCAGAGAAGUGAAGUGACUGGCCCAGAGGUCACACGGCAGACAAGUGGCGGAGCCGGGAUUAGAACCCAUGACCUUUUGACUCCCGGGCCCUAUCCACUGCGCCAUUUACAG